This 430-nucleotide ribosomal RNA is filed under the name Cylindroiulus caeruleocinctus. RNAcentral describes it as "partial 16S ribosomal RNA". It matches the Rfam family "Archaeal large subunit ribosomal RNA", at positions 1915 to 2592 of the family's 2987-position model. Lineage: Eukaryota; Metazoa; Arthropoda; Diplopoda; Julida; Julidae. The record is from RNAcentral.
AUGUUUUCAUGAUAGUGGAUAUGAAAUUUGUUCUGCUCACUGAGCUGUUGUUUAAAGAGCUGCAGUAUUUUGACUGUACAAAGGUAGCACAAUCAUUAGUCUUUUAAUUGUGGACGGGGAUGAAAGAUUAGACAAAUAAUUCUUGUCUCAGACCAAGGAAUUGAAUUUUUCGUUUGUGUAAAAAGACACAAAUAAACUUAAGGGACAAGAAGACCCUUUUAAACUUUACUAAGACGGGGUUAUUGAGACGAUUAGAUUUUGUGAUCAUAUAUUAGUUUUGCUGGGGCGGCAGGUAAGAGGGACCCUACUUAUAAUAAAUAUGGUUUGCCUGGAUGAUUGAGUGAGCCUUAGGUUGGCUAAUAAAAUUAGUUACUAAAGGGAUAACAGCGUUAUGUAUUUUGAGAGUUCUUAUUGACAAGUAUGUUUGCGA